UACGUAGGGUGCGAGCGUUAAUCGGAAUUACUGGGCGUAAAGCGUGCGCAGGCGGCUUUGCAAGACAGAUGUGAAAUCCCCGGGCUCAACCUGGGAACUGCAUUUGUGACUGCAAGGCUAGAGUACGGCAGAGGGGGAUGGAAUUCCGCGUGUAGCAGUGAAAUGCGUAGAUAUGCGGAGGAACACCAAUGGCGAAGGCAAUCCCCUGGGCCUGUACUGACGCUUAUGCACGAAAGCGUGGGGAGCAAACAGG
Molecule: ribosomal RNA, 253 nt
Filed under: uncultured bacterium
Lineage: Bacteria
Description: partial 16S ribosomal RNA
Rfam family: Bacterial small subunit ribosomal RNA
Source: RNAcentral